AGCACUGGUGUAGAGUAUCUCACAUAAAUACAGUAGGUUAUGGAUUAAGUGAACGUGAACAGCAUGCAGGGACUGAUAACCAGGGUAAUAAUUCCAGACGACGCCUUUUCCCCCUGAUCCAGAAAAGGAAACUAGGGGUGAGGAGAAGGGUGUCGACCCAGGCCCCAGAAUUCACUCCAGUGUUGGCCCAGUCCCAGAGUAUUGCCCAUGGAGGGCUCCCAAUCCCCAGUCAAGCCCAGGAAGGGCUCCCAAUCCCGAUUAAGCCCACGGAGGACUCCUGUUCCAGAGUACAGCCCACAGAGGGCUCCUGAUCCAGAGUUAAGCCCAAGGAGGGCUCCCGAUGCCCAGUUCAGCCCAGGAAGGGCUCCUGUUCCCGAAUAUAGCCCACGGAGGGCACGUAAAACCUAGGGAGGGCUCCAGACCCUAAAUAUAGCCCUGUAAAGUGGCAGAGGCGGGGGCAUGGACAGCGGCCUCAGAGGCUGCUAUGCCAUGGCCUCCCGAGUCCCCAGAUCUGCCAUGGCCUCCCGAGUCCCCAGAUCCGCCAUGGCCUCUCGAGUCUUCAGAUCCGCCAUGGCCUCCAGAGUCUCUAGAACCGGCAUGGCUUCCGAGUCCACAGAUCCACCAUGGCCUCCCAAGUCCCCUGAUCCGCCAUGACUCCCCCCACGGGUUCUACCACUGUCCCAUGUCUGUCCUGAGGGACCUCCAGAGUGCCCACCCCUCCUCCCCGUUGGAUGUUAUGUGGCAUGAGGUCACGCCUUCUGGAGGGGUCGUUAUGUCAGAGUCUGUCCCGUGUUUUGUUUAUAUCUACUCCUUGUGCUACGUGUGAUUCCCUGACAUCUGAAUAAAUUCCUUGUUGAUGUACUCCUGGUCUCCUCAUUCCUUGCUCUGUGCUCCUUCACAGUAGCAAAUUGUGACAACCAGUAGCAUCCAGAUACAGUGUGUAGCACUUUUUUGACUCUGUGAAAGAGACAGCGCCCUGAGUUCAAUUUAAAUAUAUUCUUUACCCUUAAAUGGUAUUCACCUCAGGUUUCCUAUCUUUUAUUAAAAUUCAGCAUCACAUUAGUUCAGGCAGGCCACGUUAGUCAAGAUUGCUUCAGCCGACAGUCAGCUGUUCCUGAC
Molecule: long non-coding RNA, 1119 nt
Organism: Cyprinus carpio carpio
Lineage: Eukaryota; Metazoa; Chordata; Actinopteri; Cypriniformes; Cyprinidae
Source: Ensembl